This 762-nucleotide long non-coding RNA is filed under the name Pongo abelii (Sumatran orangutan). Its description in RNAcentral is "lincRNA". The stretch from base 637 to 762 matches the Rfam family "Prostate-specific transcript 1". The record is from RNAcentral. Lineage: Eukaryota; Metazoa; Chordata; Mammalia; Primates; Hominidae.
AAUUAGGCAGCAACCUUUUUGCCCUAUGCCAUAACCUGUGUCUGCAACUUCCUCUAAUUGGGAAAUAGUUAAGCAGAUUCAUAGAGCUGAAUGAUAAAAUUGUAUUACGAGAUGCACUGGGACUCAAUGUGACCUUAUCAAGUGAGAUGGAGUCUUGCCCUGUCUCCCAGGCUGGAGCCCAAUGGCAUGAUCUUGGCUCACUGCAACCUCCACCUCCCAGGUUCAAACGUUUCUCCUGCCUCAGCCUCCCAAGUAACUGGGAUUACAGCAGGCUUGGUGAAUUUGACACUUCAUGAAAUCAGCUAAAGUGGAACUAAAAACAGCUCCUGGAAGAGGACUAUGACAUCAUCAGGUUGGGAGUCUCCAGGGACAGCGGACCCUUUGGAAAAGGACUGGAAAGUGCAAAAUCUAUCAGUCUUCGAUAUGAAAUUCUCUGUCUCCGUAAAAGCAUUUCAUAUUUACAAGACACAGGCCUACUCCUAGGGCAGCAAAAAGUGGCAACAGGCAAGCAGAGGGAAAAGAGAUCAUGAGGCACUUCAGACUGCACUCUUUUCAUAUAUUUCUCAAUACCGUAUGUUUGGUUUUAUUUUGGCCAAGCAUAACAAUCUGCUCAAAAAAAAAAAAAAAAAUCUGGAGAAAACAAAGGUGGCUUUGCCAAUAUUAUGUUUCUUUUUGACAAGCCCUGAGAUUUCUGAGGGGAAUUCACAUAAAUGGGAUCAGGUCAUUCAUUUAUGUUGUGUGCAAAUAUAAUUUAAAGAUACA